Molecule: long non-coding RNA, 1408 nt
Filed under: Felis catus (domestic cat)
Lineage: Eukaryota; Metazoa; Chordata; Mammalia; Carnivora; Felidae
Description: lncRNA (ENSFCAG00000050625.1)
Source: RNAcentral
GGCCUCAUAGCAUCGUGGUUAACUGCACGACGGAGUCAGGAGCCUGAAUGCCCAUGCUCAGAUCUCAGCCCUGUCACUUACUGUGACUCACUCAAUCUCUCCAGGCCUCCGUUUUCUUAUCUUUAAAAUAGAAGUAACAAGAGGCUCUCCCACGGUGGAAUCGUUAUGAAGAUUAAGGGAGAGGAAAUCUAUUUGGAGGACCUGCGUGGAGGAGACAAGGGAGAUGAUUCUGAUCCCUGGAAAGGACUCAAACUCUGGCAGACAAACAGAAAGCUAAAGAAAGCACUACAAUCCAAUGUAAUAAAUCAUCCUCAUGGCCACCGGCUCUCACACAUUUGCCCUUGGCUGGGCAGUGUGCUUAGUGAUGCAUUUGCUUCCUCUCACCGAGCCUCGACUGUACUCCUCUGAGGAGAAAUAGGUUAACAAUUGUGCCCAUUUUCCAGAUGGAAAAACCAAGGCACAGAGAAGAUAGGUGUUAAGAAUGCGAGGCAAGACAUAAACUCAGGGGAUGUCCAGCUCCAGAGUCCUUGCUCUUACCAGAUACCUCCCUCUGCAAGGUCAGCCUUGAGUAUGGACAGGGUCUUGCCUUUGGCCUUAGCCUCGGAGGAGUCCCAUCAAUAGGCAAGUGGAUGGGGAAGCAGGAGAAAGACAAGAGCUUGCAGCGGAUUUCUUUUCACAGCAUGCAAACAAAGAGAUACCCUGCCCUUCACUGCUCUUCUCUGGGCCCCUGGGCAGGCUGCCUGCGUCUUUCACCCCACUCUAAGAUGGGACACCAAGACCGAAGGCCAAGGUGGCCUGAGGCUGCGCGAAAGCUUUGAGAACAAAGGAGUCACGUCCUCCCCAACUGUCCCAGAGACACGUGAUCAGAGGGAGCAACUGCUCCCAAAGCCACACAGGAAACCACGUCUCUGUAAACUCACCCAUGACGUCAGCCCUGCAUCCAGAACAGCCCUUGUACCUUCCUUCCCACUCAUCCCUGCAUUAACCAAUUACUGAAAACAGCUCAAAAUAGCACCUGUCCCUCAGCUGGGGCUGCUGCAGGAAUAUGGCUUGUGAUCCUUUUCGAGAAAGAGCAAGUCUGUUGGAAAUCAGUGCAGUGAGAUUAUCUGGCUCUCACGCCGAUGUCCGGCUCCAACCUACCCAGAACAGGCUGGGCUACGGGGUUUGCGUGUUUCCUACCAGACAGUCGCGUUGGAACGUGGCUUCUUGUACCAGCUGUAGUCUGGGUCUCAGGGUAGCCAUCGAGGGGUAGCAAUGGGACCCAACCCCGUGAGCCACUCGAGCCCCACGGAGAGCAGAUUCUCUGAGAAGCUGGCCAAGGCACAGGAGUGGUCCGGAGGGUGUUCGGUGACCUGCUUCAAUACUGGCCCCGUUUCUCCACACCCCAGGCCACCCCCACCAGGAUCCC